CUAGUUUCUCUUCAGAUCGCAUAAAUCUUUCGCCUUUUACUAAAGAUUUCCGUGGAGAAAUAGUGCCUCCUGUCUAAUUUUGUGAAAAAUCCAGUGGAUAGU
RNAcentral lists this small nuclear RNA (102 nucleotides) under Neogale vison (American mink). RNAcentral describes it as "Neovison vison (American mink) U5 spliceosomal RNA (ENSNVIG00000019759.1)". It matches the Rfam family "U5 spliceosomal RNA". Rfam says of the family: U5 RNA is a component of both types of known spliceosome. Lineage: Eukaryota; Metazoa; Chordata; Mammalia; Carnivora; Mustelidae. The record is from Rfam by way of RNAcentral.